This 253-nucleotide ribosomal RNA is filed under the name uncultured bacterium. Its description in RNAcentral is "partial 16S ribosomal RNA". It matches the Rfam family "Bacterial small subunit ribosomal RNA", at positions 524 to 776 of the family's 1533-position model. The record is from RNAcentral.
UACGGAGGGUGCGAGCGUUGUCCGGAAUCACUGGGCGUAAAGGGCGCGUAGGCGGCAGGCCAAGCGUGCGGUGAAAGUCCGGGGCUCAACCCCGGAUCUGCCGUGCGGACUGGUUUGCUAGAGCACUGUAGAGGCGAGUGGAAUUCCGGGUGUAGCGGUGGAAUGCGUAGAGAUCCGGAAGAACACCAGUGGCGAAGGCGGCCCGCUGGGCAGUGGCUGACGCUGAAGCGCGACAGCGUGGGGAGCAAACAGG